Triticum aestivum (bread wheat) is the source of this 1390-nucleotide long non-coding RNA. RefSeq lists it as uncharacterized. The transcript has 3 exons. Lineage: Eukaryota; Viridiplantae; Streptophyta; Magnoliopsida; Poales; Poaceae. The record is from RefSeq and is a predicted model, not a curated record.
UUUUACAGUCAGAAAAAAAAACAGAAACACACACGGGCUCUCCUCUCUCUCCCUCGCCUCCCGAUCCCAGCCGCCAGGAGGCGCCCCACCCCGCGCGACCUCGAUCCGGUGCCGCGCCGAUCUGGCGGCGGGUGCAGCGUCUUGCUCUGGUGGCGACAUGAGAAAGAGAGAUAGUGCGUGAGGGAGAGAGGAAAGAGAGGAAGAAAGGAGAAGGAGAAGGGGCACAAGGUGAGGGAGGCGGUCGCCGGCGGUGGUGGUUCCGGUGACCGGCAGGCGGGCAGGGAGACGAGCUCCUGUUGAGGUGGCGGAGCUCAGUGCGGGCUGGUUCCUCCGGAUCGAGCCUUGGCUCUCCCGAGGCAUGCGGUUGCGGGCUUGGAUCGGGGUGAUCCUUCUCCCCCGCCCUCCCCCUCCAUGGCAACGACACAAGUUGCGCAGGCAGUUGGAGAGUGCCGAUUUCGAUACGAGUGUGUCAAUCUUCACUCCGGAGCAGAUCCAAGGGAUUGUUGAGAAAUACUCCAGUUGACAUAUUUGAAGAGAUGAGAGAUUUACAUCGCAUCCAGUCUUCUCCCUCUACUAUAGCUGAUGGUUGUAUUCCACCCAUACACGAAGCAUAUAAUUACCAUCUAGCUUUACUUCAUGUAAUCUGAACUUUGCUCAGUGAAAGACUACAUGUGUACUAAUUACAUUGGCAGUGGCACCUGUUGGAACCGUCCACCUGGCUCCCGGGGCGAACAUCGCCGCCACCCCGCUGUCGAUUCCCACCCAAGCUGCUAGCCUCCUUGUGGUGGUGGUCUUCACCCUCUUUCAUAACCAUGAAGUGGAUCAUCGUUGUGACGUUGUCCAGCACUGGUGAGAAGGGUGGCCCGCGUCGAGACGUCCAAGGUUGGGUGGUCUGCAGGUCAGGCUCGUUAGGAUGGUGACUGGCAAGAUGGAGAUGAAUACAGAUGUGUCCUUCACCCUCGACAAUGACACUGGCUGCAUCAAUUUUUCAUCAGAUGGUGAGAGCGUCUCGUUGAAUUGCACACUUUCUAAUGAAGUUUCAGAUGUAUCUUAGCGGUACAAUGUUAUACUUUUGUGCUCUCAGUGCCACUGCUGGAUGUUGACUUGGUUGUGGGAUUUGUCAAAUGCCAAUCUUAAAUAGAAAUAAGUUAGGCUGGCUGUUACGACAAUGCAGGCACCAAGCAGAACUUAGUAACUGGAAAUCUGCAAGUUCUUAAUCAUCUCUGGUUUGAUAAAAUAACUAUUUGAGAGAGAGAUAUAUUACUGUAAAAUUCUUAAACUUUGCGGCAGAUGGAUUUUGCGGCUUUGGAUUUUCCUCUCUCUUGAUUUUUCAAAUUGAUGUGGCUGUAGAAACUUGAGGCUGAAUUUAUUAAUUGGUGUGGAUGCGACC